UCGCUGGUGGUUCAGUGGUAGAAUUCUCGCCUGCCACGCGGGAGACCGGGGUUCGAUUCCCCGCUAGCGCA
RNAcentral lists this transfer RNA (71 nucleotides) under Dendronephthya gigantea. Its description in RNAcentral is "tRNA-Gly". It matches the Rfam family "tRNA". Rfam says of the family: Transfer RNA (tRNA) molecules are approximately 80 nucleotides in length. Their secondary structure includes four short double-helical elements and three loops (D, anti-codon, and T loops). Lineage: Eukaryota; Metazoa; Cnidaria; Anthozoa; Malacalcyonacea; Nephtheidae. The record is from RNAcentral.